UGAGGAAUAUUGGUCAAUGGGCGUGAGCCUGAACCAGCCAAGUAGCGUGCAGGAAGACGGCCCUAUGGGUUGUAAACUGCUUUUAUGCGGGGAUAAAGGAGUCCACGUGUGGAGUUUUGCAGGUACCGCAUGAAUAAGGACCGGCUAAUUCCGUGCCAGCAGCCGCGGUAAUACGGAAGGUCCGGGCGUUAUCCGGAUUUAUUGGGUUUAAAGGGAGCGUAGGCCGCGUUUUAAGCGUGUUGUGAAAUGUAGACGCCCAACGUCUGCAUCGCAGCGCGAACUGGGACGCUUGAGUACGCGCAACGUUGGCGGAAUUCGUCGUGUAGCGGUGAAAUGCUUAGAUAUGACGAGGAACUCCGAUUGCGGAGGCAGCUGACGGGAGCGGCACUGACGCUUAAGCUCGAAGGUGCGGGUAUCAAACAGG
This 424-nucleotide ribosomal RNA is filed under the name Verrucomicrobiota bacterium. RNAcentral's name for it is "Verrucomicrobia bacterium partial 16S ribosomal RNA". It matches the Rfam family "Bacterial small subunit ribosomal RNA", at positions 355 to 776 of the family's 1533-position model. The record is from RNAcentral. Lineage: Bacteria; Pseudomonadati; Verrucomicrobiota.